This 2624-nucleotide long non-coding RNA is filed under the name Cicer arietinum (chickpea). RNAcentral's name for it is "long non-coding RNA (CARI_LNC001491)". Lineage: Eukaryota; Viridiplantae; Streptophyta; Magnoliopsida; Fabales; Fabaceae. The record is from RNAcentral.
AAGUCAACAAUAUUUACAAACAGCAUAAAUAGUUUUUUAAACAAAAAUCCAAAGUAUUUAAGCAGCAUAAUACACCUGGGCUAUGAGACCUAUCAGACAUAACACAUACCCAUGGGGUAUUCUCGACACACACCUGUACAAAAACACUACCUUAAGAAUUUUAACUCUCCCACGUCACAUCAAAAAAAGUGGUACGUGGACCCAUCAAAACAAAAGUCAAACUGACAAUAUAAGAUAUAAGUACAGUCUUCCAAAUUGAAAUAAUUACAACCACAAAAGAAAGACAUAUAGACCUUAUACAACCAUCUAAUAUGAUCAUGCUACAAAAAAACCUAUACAACUCGGGUGAUCUCCACACGCGUCGCAAGAUCCUCCUGACACAGCUUCGGUCAGGUAUGUCUAACUACCUUCCCAUCUCGAGGGUACUAACCGGUAGGACGAUCUUGGUCCUCAUCUAAGGGCAAAUCCCAUAUUUCCACAAUAAUUGUAAAUGGCCAUCAAUCGAAAUUAACAAAUAACAUUUAGCAAAAUUCUUAUAUUUUCAAAUGCUCAAAAAAACUUUUCGUCUUAGCAUACUCCUCGAAAGGGUUUUCAUAUGUCCAAAAAUACAUAAACAAUGUUUAAAAAUGAAGUUUUUGACAAACUGCACUGUCAUAGCCGAAUAGAACUGAGAAAAUGCAUAUUUUCAGUUCUAAAAUGGCUCUGAAUCAAUUAACACUUCAAACAUUCAUAUUACCAAUUAUGAACACAUAAUUAACACCAAAUUAAUCUCCACAAAUUCACAGCCCAAUCACACAUCAAACAUUCUUAACAUCAAUUAUGAACACAUAAGUACAUCAAAACUUAAUCAACCCAAAUUUACACCUCAAAGCAAUUACGACAAAUCACAACAUCAACCGAAUAUGUAUAUACAAUCAUCAUAGUAUAACAAACAUGACUCGCGUGCCAAACACCCUAAUGCAAUGCGUAAAUGCCAAAAUGCAUGAUUCUGUAAUUCCAACCAAAACCUUCCUCAAAUGGGCGUAAAUCAUAAUUGUACAACCUCUCACAGACCAAUACUAAUUACUAAGGUGCAAUCUCUCACAGAUCAGCACGAUUUACUAGCGUGCAAUCGCUCACAGAACAACACGAUUUUCUAGAGUGCAAUCGCUCACAGCAGAUCAACACAUUCUAGAGUGCAACCUCUCACAGACCAGCACUAAUUACCAAAAUGCAAUCUCUCACAGAUCAGCACGACGCGAUAAUCCCCGUAAGGAUAAGAUGAACCAACAGAUCACAUGACAUCAUCCCUUGGCCCAUCACGGUCACCACUAUCACCAUGGCUCCAUCGCGGUCAUCAUGUACUAUGAAAUGUAUGAGCAUACUCUGACUUUUUUCACCACAAUCAUUAAGUAAAUGCAACUAUGAAAAGAUUUUCCAUUUUUAAUACUCAUUUAACACUAACGAUUUUUCAAACUUAUCACAGAGUAUACUCAAAACAAAUUUUCCUCAAUAAAAUUCAUAACGUACAUAUUAUCAGUUAUGAAUAUACAAUCACAUCAAAACUUAAUCACCACAACAACAUUAAUAUAUUAGAGUUCUUUUCACCGCUAACUCGGUGCCAACGGUCUCGAUUCCUUUUCAAGACUCAAGGAGCUAACUACAUAAACAUUUUUAUAACAAUUUGUUCACAAUAAAAUUAAUCCAACCACAAAAAAAUUCCCAAAAUUAAAUCUUUCUCACACACCAAACUUUUAUAACCAAAUAAUUUAUAUUAUUUAGUUAAAACUAAAUAAAACAAAUAUUGUCCAAAUCUCACAUACACACACUCGACUAUUAAAGCACCAAAAUUUUUGAGUUAAUAAAAUACUCUAAUUUUUUUUUCUUUUUAAAUUCAAAAGUAAUUAAAAUAGUAACAUUUUAAACUCUAAUCAUUUUUAAUUUCAAUCUACCUUUUUGCUCAAUCUCUUUAAUUUAGUUAAAAUUUGAACUUUUUCACAAUUUUAACAACUCUAAUUUUUUUUUGUAAAAUUUCAACUUCAGUUCAAACUCAUUUAUUUAAAAAUAACUCAUUACGUAACUCAAACACAUCAAAUUUAGUUACCGCCAAUUUACACCAAAAUCAAUCAAUUCAAUUCCACAACACACAUAUAACACCUAAAUUAAAUUUCAACAAUUCAAACAUAAAUCACCCAAUUUUAAAACUCUACAUUUUUACACAUAAACCACCAAAUUUUAUCUCCAUAGCACACAUAAAUCACAUUAAAUUCAUUUUUCACAAUCAAACACACAAACCUCAUAAAUUUCCACCUCCACAAAUACACAUAUAAAGUCCUAUAUGCAGUCUAAAAGUUUGGAAAGAGCAUUUACCUUCGUUGUAGUUUUUACAACUGUUUUCGUUACCGCGAUCAAAUACGGCGAAAACUCUCGCUCGCGUCAUCACUUCAAAAGCUAACUCACUAGCACCGUAAUGUGGAGAGGAGUAACUUUCCCUUAUGUCACUUCUCAAAUGGAAGCUUAAAUCUAGUAGAUAAACAAAGGUUUGUGUUUUAUGAUUUUAUCGCUUAUGAUUUUGCUUUCUCUCUGUUCUAGCCUUGCCUUCCUCUCAUAUAUCGCUUAUGGUUUUGCUUUUUAUCUAUUUUUAG